This 30-nucleotide non-coding RNA is filed under the name Homo sapiens (human). The record is from RNAcentral. Lineage: Eukaryota; Metazoa; Chordata; Mammalia; Primates; Hominidae.
UAUGGUUACAAAUGUUUCACAAGACAGCAA